CAACUGACUAAAAUAUAGCACAUGGGAUGUGGACUUCAGAUGUGACUCCUCAUGCAGUCCUGAGAUCCAGUAUGGUCCUGAGAUAACACAGAGUCAUAUAGAUUGGUUCUAGAUUAACAAAUCCAAACAUCAGCCUGACCUACCAAGUUCCAUCACUAAACCAUGUCUCAUUAGUGCCACAUCCACAGGUCACGUCUCUUAAACGUGUACAGGAAUGGGGAUUCCAUCACUUCUUUGGGCAGUAACAUGGUGAUACAGACAUACAUGAUCUCACAACUGAACAGAAAAAUGUCAGAUUGGUGCACUUGUCCUCUACAGGAAAGUGUUGAAGAUAUGUUGUGAAAUUUCACACCCUAACUCUAAAACUGAUAUAAAGACUUCCAGGUAAAAACAUCCAGCAGUUUAUUCCUAUCUUUGAAGUCGAUGACCCAAAGUUUAAUGGGAUUGUUAUAUUCAACGAAGCUCAAAGAAUUAUACAGGAAAUGUAACACAUGAACAGAGAGCAUUAGUGCAGAAAAUCCAACUAUUCUAAAAGUAUGUAGAAACUUUCAACCAAGAAAGGAUCCACAUUAUACUGUUUGACACUAAAUUCUUGGACCAGAUCCCUAUCUGUUGGUAUCCAAUAAAAUUCCAAUUUAUAAUGAGAUAAGGCAGUUUGUUGUUCCCUUCUACAAGUCAUUAGCAGUAAACAUCAUGUAAAUUAAAAAGAAUAAGAAAUAGGAUCAACCACAGGCCAAAGCAGAGGCCUACAAAAUGCUUAAAGUCUGUGUAUAAGUGUGAAUAAAUAAAUUUGCAGCUCAAGAACUAGUGCUCACUUGCAUUUCUAGAAUAAUAACACUUUCCUGGAUAAAACUGAAUGAAUAAUCAAUUAUCUUUAAAAAGGAAUGCCUGUCUUACCUAGUAAAAGGCUACAAGCAGAACAUUGCCAAAUAAGAGUUUUCAUCCAUCUUUUUCUCUUUUGACUAUUUUAGAUUUUUUUACUGAUAGUCUUUUCAGUUCCAGUAAGAAUUUGGCCUGAAUCUCUUCAAUUUGCAAAUGAUAUUUUCUUAGAUUGAGGGGCUGCCUUUCACAUAGUAACAGUAAGUACUUUAGAGCCACAUCUUCAGAUUUUACCUGUAUUUCUUCUGGAGGCAAGGGUGGAGCACAAGUGCUGCAAAGGUAUUUGCCAUCCAUUGAAGCAGAAACUCUGAAGUCCCUUAAGCAGCCAGCUGGAUAGUAGGAGGUGGAGAAGGUGAUAAAGGCCUGUCACUCAGCUGCAGUGUUUGCAUUCCCAAGGCAAUUUCCCAAACAGCAAAGCACAAAAACUGCAGAGUUAAUAGUACCUGUGUAGGGUAAAGAAGAAUGGAUGAAGUAUUACAAUAUUUAGG
This is a long non-coding RNA of Gallus gallus (chicken), 1367 nucleotides long. The record is from Ensembl. NCBI's taxonomy places the organism in Eukaryota, Metazoa, Chordata, Aves, Galliformes, Phasianidae.